Molecule: transfer RNA, 73 nt
Filed under: Nemichthys scolopaceus (slender snipe eel)
Lineage: Eukaryota; Metazoa; Chordata; Actinopteri; Anguilliformes; Nemichthyidae
Description: tRNA-Asn
Source: RNAcentral
UAGACUGAUGCUCGCUGGUUUGAGCGCUUAGCUGUUAACUAAGAUUUUGAGGGAUCGAGGCCCUUCAUUCUAU